Molecule: ribosomal RNA, 1647 nt
Filed under: Triticum aestivum (bread wheat)
Lineage: Eukaryota; Viridiplantae; Streptophyta; Magnoliopsida; Poales; Poaceae
Description: partial small subunit ribosomal RNA
Source: RNAcentral
AUGGGGCUUCCAGAUCCGUGGAGGAGCGCCGGAGGUCGCGCGCCGCCCGCCGUGCGGUUUUGCGCUACGGCCGGCCGGCCGUCGUCUCCGCCACGGUCGUCCUCUUCCUCCUCUGCUCCACCGCGUACAUCGACGGCGCCGCCGUGGCCGACCUCGAGCCUUUUCGCCUUCUCCUCGUCUGACGCGGAGGUGCUCUUACCCGACCUCGCCGCCGGGCCAAGGAAACCCCACCCCGCCGCGAGCUUUUCAUCCCUCAGGUCGUUCUUCCCUGCUCGCUCCCUCUCUCUUUCUCUCUGUCGUUGCUGCUCAAGUGCCAAGUUUCUGUUUCUGUUGGCGCUGCUGUGCGUGGAUGUGUUACUCUGGCCGUACUGCUCAUGUGCUCAUGCUUGGCUGCCGUGGAUGACUGGGUGUGGGAGUGUCCAGAUUCUAUGGUUCAUGUAUGCUCGUCUUUCUAGAUUCACCCCCUUUAAAAGGUAUUUUGAUGGAUGUAGUCUGCAUAUUAGGUUCUGCAUAUUAGAUUCACCCCCUUUGAAAGGCUCACACCUUGAUCUUCACUACCCCACCGCAGCUCACAUCGACACACAGCCCCCUCCCUGCUUCCUCUGCGUCUCCGAUGGCUGCUUCUUCUUCGACUCCGGCAUAGAAAAUGGAGCUGAUUCUUUGAGGUCAUCCAGCUUUCUACAACAUCGACAGUGGUGGCCGCCUCUUCCUCGUUUCAGUGUGUGCUUGCGCAUGUACUACCAUGUUUCCUUUGCUGCUGAGGCACCUUAUGCAAAUGCAUGGUUACACAAAGGGCCCUGCUGCUUCCUGCAGGAAUUUGGUCGUCUUGGUCCUCCACGGCGAGUUGGACUUUAUUUAAGCAAUGACAUCGUGUGGAAUUACUAUGCUCAUCCUUUCUACCACAACAUGUACAAGGAAUACCGUGACACCACCCCCGUCAAGGAGAUGUACAGAGAUGGCUUCCCGUCACUGCCAGAUCCCCCUGCAUCCAGAUCAUCAAGACUGCCACUGUUCCCGCUGGUCUACCAGAAGGCCGAGCAGCCAACCAGGAAGCUGAAGACGACCUUCAAGGCCUCAAGGCCAAACUUGUUCAUGCUAUCCAAGUCAUACGUCCAUAACCUCCAAGUUGCUAUCAGCAGUUAUAUUGUUCCUUCAUAUGGUCAUAUCUUUUUAGUUGCUUUUGUAGGAGAUGCUUUGCUUUUGAACAUCAAUGCACCGGUUCCUGUAGUUAGCAUGGCAACUUUGCCAAGGCGUGUUGACCGGCAAGAACAUGAACUAUGCCGUCCUGGCAUCAGCAUCUGCAGUCGUGUGAUGUUCGGCAUCCGCUACAACUCCGACGACUUGGCUUCUUUAGCCUUUGAAAAACAACAGAUUUUAUUUGAUAUUUGCCAUAUGAUCUUGACUCUGAUCCAGAAUGAGGUGUGGAUCAUCUUGGAGAAGCGAGGCAACAAUCAGUAGAUGUGGGAUGAGAUCCAACCGUUGAUUAGUUAUUUUGAUAAAGAGGGAGUAGUCAGUGUAUGCUGAGGGGAGGUUACUCCUAACUAGCUUGUUAAUUAUGCGAGGAAGCACUAGCACGGAUGCCCGUGCGUUGUAACGGGAGAGACAUUUCUUUGCAAAAAGCAACGGGAGAGAUAAUUGACAUGUCCA